RNAcentral lists this long non-coding RNA (226 nucleotides) under Bos taurus (domestic cattle). Its description in RNAcentral is "long non-coding RNA NONBTAT014288". Lineage: Eukaryota; Metazoa; Chordata; Mammalia; Artiodactyla; Bovidae. The record is from RNAcentral.
UGCUGACUGCGGGGCAGGCUGCUUUCCCUCAUUCUUUUUUGUUACUGGUGCUUAUAUGAAAUGCUUACCCCCCACUGGUUAACAUUAUAAAGCCUCCCCUGGGGAGGAGGGACUCCCAAAAUUAUAAGAAAGGAACGUUCAGGUUCACAUGGAAAGACCUUAAUAAAUUAUCACCUAAUAAUAUCACAAGCCCUGGCCAUCGCUGGUUUAUCGGUCCCAAGCACCC